This 568-nucleotide ribosomal RNA is filed under the name uncultured bacterium. RNAcentral's name for it is "partial 16S ribosomal RNA". It matches the Rfam family "Bacterial small subunit ribosomal RNA", at positions 355 to 1375 of the family's 1533-position model. The record is from RNAcentral.
UGGGGAAUAUUGCACAAUGGGCGAAAGCCUGAUGCAGCGACGCCGCGUGAGGGAUGACGGCCUUCGGGUUGUAAACCUCUUUCAGCAGGGAAGAAGCGAAAGUGACGGUACCUGCAGAAGAAGCGCCGGCUAACUACGUGCCAGCAGCCGCGGUAAUACGUAGGGCGCAAGCGUUGUCCAGAAUUAUUGGGCGUAAAGAGCUCGUAGGCGGUUAGUCGCGUCUGCUGUGAAAACUCGAGGCUCAACCUCGGGCUUGCAGUGGGUACGGGCUGACUAGAGUGCGGUAGGGGUGACUGGAAUUCCUGGUGUAGCGGUGGAAUGCGCAGAUAUCAGGAGGAACACCGAUGGCGAAGGCAGGUCACUGGGCCGCAACUGACGCUGAGGAGCGAAAGCAUGGGGAGCGAACAGGAUUAGAUACCCUGGUAGUCCAUGCCGUAAACGUUGGGCACUAGGUGUGGGGUCCAUUCCACGGAUUCCGUGCCGCAGCAAACGCAUUAAGUGCCCCGCCUGGGGAGUACGGCCGCAAGGCUAAAACUCAAAUGAAUUGACGGGGUCAUAGCUGUUUCCU